UGGGGAAUAUUGCACAAUGGGGGAAACCCUGAUGCAGCGACGCCGCGUGAGCGAAGAAGGUUUUCGAAUCGUAAAGCUCUGUCCUAUGAGAAGAUAAUGACGGUAUCAUAGGAGGAAGCCCCGGCUAAAUACGUGCCAGCAGCCGCGGUAAUACGUAUGGGGCGAGCGUUGUCCGGAAUUAUUGGGCGUAAUGGGUACGUAGGCGGUCUAUUAAGUCAGGUGUGAAAGCGUGAGGCUUAACCUCAUUAAGCACUUGAAACUGAUAGACUUGAGUGAAGGAGAGGAAAGUGGAAUUCCUAGUGUAGCGGUGAAAUGCGUAGAUAUUAGGAGGAAUACCGGUGGCGAAGGCGACUUUCUGGACUUUUACUGACGCUCAGGUACGAAAGCGUGGGGAGCAAACAGG
Molecule: ribosomal RNA, 403 nt
Filed under: Verrucomicrobiota bacterium
Lineage: Bacteria; Pseudomonadati; Verrucomicrobiota
Description: Verrucomicrobia bacterium partial 16S ribosomal RNA
Rfam family: Bacterial small subunit ribosomal RNA
Source: RNAcentral